AAAGUACUCCCUCCGUACCAAAAUUCUUGUCUUAGAUUUGUCUAGAUACAGAUGUAUCAAGUCACAUUUUAGUAUUAGAUACAUCCGUAUCUAGACAAAUCUAAGACAAGAAAUUUGGGACAGAGGGAGUAGUUG
Molecule: non-coding RNA, 135 nt
Organism: Triticum aestivum (bread wheat)
Lineage: Eukaryota; Viridiplantae; Streptophyta; Magnoliopsida; Poales; Poaceae
Source: Rfam